CUACGGGGCGCAGCAGUGGGGAAUAUUGCACAAUGGAGGAAACUCUGAUGCAGCAACGCCGCGUGGAGGAUGACACUUUUCGGAGCGUAAACUCCUUUUAUAUAGGAAGAAGAUGACGGUACUAUAUGAAUAAGCGCCGGCUAACUCCGUGCCAGCAGCCGCGGUGAUACGGAGGGCGCAAGCGUUACUCUGGAAUCACUGGGCGUAAAGAGCGUGUAGGCGGAUUAAAAAGUCAGAAGUGAAAUCCUAUAGCUUAACUAUAGAACUGCUUCUGAAACUCUUAAUCUAGAAUAUGGGAGAGGUAGAUGGAAUUUCUGGUGUAGGGGUAAAAUCCGUAGAGAUCAGAAGGAAUACCGAUUGCGAAGGCGAUCUACUAGAACAUUAUUGACGCUGAGACGCGAAAGCGUGGGGAGCAAACAGGAUUAGAUACCCGAGUAGUC
This 440-nucleotide ribosomal RNA is filed under the name uncultured bacterium. RNAcentral describes it as "partial 16S ribosomal RNA". It matches the Rfam family "Bacterial small subunit ribosomal RNA", at positions 339 to 795 of the family's 1533-position model. The record is from RNAcentral.